This 444-nucleotide ribosomal RNA is filed under the name uncultured soil bacterium. Its description in RNAcentral is "bacterial SSU rRNA". It matches the Rfam family "Bacterial small subunit ribosomal RNA", at positions 26 to 518 of the family's 1533-position model. The record is from RNAcentral.
AGAGCGAACGCUGGCGGCAGGCCUAACACAUGCAAGUCGAACGGACCCUUCGGGGUUAGUGGCGGACGGGUGAGUAACACGUGGGAACGUGCCUUUUGGUUCGGAAUAGCUCCUGGAAACGGGUGGUAAUGCCGAAUGUGCCCUUCGGGGGAAAGAUUUAUCGCCAUUAGAGCGGCCCGCGUCUGAUUAGCUAGUUGGUGAGGUAAUGGCUCACCAAGGCGACGAUCAGUAGCUGGUCUGAGAGGAUGACCAGCCACAUUGGGACUGAGACACGGCCCAAACUCCUACGGGAGGCAGCAGUGGGGAAUCUUGCGCAAUGGGCGAAAGCCUGACGCAGCCAUGCCGCGUGAAUGAUGAAGGUCUUAGGAUUGUAAAAUUCUUUCACCGGGACGAUAAUGACGGUACCCGGAGAAGAAGCCCCGGCUAACUCGUGCCAGCAGCCGC